RNAcentral lists this ribosomal RNA (253 nucleotides) under uncultured bacterium. RNAcentral describes it as "partial 16S ribosomal RNA". It matches the Rfam family "Bacterial small subunit ribosomal RNA", at positions 524 to 776 of the family's 1533-position model. The record is from RNAcentral.
UACGAAGGGUGCAAGCGUUACUCGGAAUUACUGGGCGUAAAGGGUGCGUAGGUGGUUGUUUAAGUCUGUUGUGAAAGCCCCGGGCUUAACCUCGAGCUGUCGGCGGAAACUAUUUGGCUAGAGUCCGGAAGAGGAGAAUGGAAUUCCCGGUGUAGCGGUGAAAUGCGCAGAUAUCGGGAAGAACACCCGUGGCGAAGGCGGUUCUCUGGGACGGUACUGACGCUGAGACGCGAAAGCGUGGGGAGCGAACAGG